UGGGGAAUAUUGGGCAAUGGGCGCAAGCCUGACCCAGCGAUGCCGCGUGUGUGAAGAAGGCCUGCGGGUUGUAAAGCACUUUGGGCGGGGAGGAAGGGUCCGCCGCGAACGGCGGCGGGCCUUGACGUCACCCGCGGAACAAGCGCCGGCUAACUCCGUGCCAGCAGCCGCGGUAAUACGGAGGGCGCGAGCGUUAAUCGGAAUCACUGGGCGUAAAGCGUGCGUAGGCGGUGCGCUAAGCCCCGCGUGAAAUCCCCGGGCUCAACCUGGGAACUGCGCGGGGGACUGGCGCGCUGGAGUGCGGCAGAGGGCGGCGGAAUUCCCGGUGUAGCAGUGAAAUGCGUAGAGAUCGGGAGGAACACCAGUGGCGAAGGCGGCCGCCUGGGCCUGCACUGACGCUGAGGCACGAAAGCGUGGGGAGCAAACA
RNAcentral lists this ribosomal RNA (427 nucleotides) under uncultured Pseudomonadota bacterium. Its description in RNAcentral is "uncultured proteobacterium partial 16S ribosomal RNA". It matches the Rfam family "Bacterial small subunit ribosomal RNA", at positions 355 to 774 of the family's 1533-position model. Lineage: Bacteria; Pseudomonadati; Pseudomonadota. The record is from RNAcentral.